GCAUCCAUGGCUGAAUGGUUAAAGCGCCCAACCUAAUAAUAAUAAAGUAAAGAGGCAAGUAGGUUCGAUUCCUGCUGGAUGCA
This 83-nucleotide transfer RNA is filed under the name Physaria fendleri (Fendler's bladderpod). RNAcentral describes it as "tRNA-Ile". It matches the Rfam family "tRNA". From Rfam's summary of the family: Transfer RNA (tRNA) molecules are approximately 80 nucleotides in length. The record is from RNAcentral. Lineage: Eukaryota; Viridiplantae; Streptophyta; Magnoliopsida; Brassicales; Brassicaceae.